Molecule: ribosomal RNA, 256 nt
Filed under: uncultured bacterium
Lineage: Bacteria
Description: partial 16S ribosomal RNA
Rfam family: Bacterial small subunit ribosomal RNA
Source: RNAcentral
GACAGAGGAUGCAAGCGUUAUCCGGAAUGAUUGGGCGUAAAGCGUCUGUAGGUGGCUUUUUAAGUCCGCCGUCAAAUCCCAGGGCUCAACCCUGGACAGGCGGUGGAAACUACCAAGCUGGAGUACGGUAGGGGCAGGAGGGAAUUUCCGGGUGGAGCGGUGAAAUGACGUAGAGAUCGGAAAGAACACCAACGGCGAAAGCACUCUGCUGGGCCGACACUGGCACUGAGAGACGAAAGCUAGGGGAGCGAAUGGG